RNAcentral lists this long non-coding RNA (314 nucleotides) under Capsella rubella. RNAcentral describes it as "long non-coding RNA (CRUB_LNC002101)". The record is from RNAcentral. Lineage: Eukaryota; Viridiplantae; Streptophyta; Magnoliopsida; Brassicales; Brassicaceae.
UAAUUAAUUUGUGGUUGGUUGGUAUAUAAACACAAUUAUAUUAAAAAAAUGAUUAUGCAAUAGAGAAACAUAAUUGAGUUUUGACCAUAUAUGACAGGAGUAUUAUAUACAGAAAAAAAGAAAAAAGAAAUUUCAAUUGGGUAGCUUGUAAGAAUAGUUAUAAUUCCUAUAUUUUUAAACAUUCCCUAAAAAUAAAAAUAAAAAGAAAAAUGAAAUAGUUUUUAACUACGCAAUGUGUUAUGUAAUAUAGAGACAGACAGUAAAGAUAGGGUUGAGAUGAGUUUUGGGUCAGUUUAUGUCUACUUCCUGCCGCC